RNAcentral lists this long non-coding RNA (251 nucleotides) under Trifolium pratense (red clover). Its description in RNAcentral is "long non-coding RNA (TPRA_LNC009225)". Lineage: Eukaryota; Viridiplantae; Streptophyta; Magnoliopsida; Fabales; Fabaceae. The record is from RNAcentral.
AAUAAUUCACCAAACAGAUAUCGAAAUGAUCGUAAUCGAGUUAUCUUUCCACAGAAUCAAACCCCACUAAAUUUGGAGUUACAAUGAGAGAUUAAUUACCGUUUUAGUGAAGGUAUAUCCCCCAAAAUUCUGCACAAAAUCUGCUUUCGAGUCACACCUUCAAAGCUUCGCACACAACUCAAUUUGAAUCAAUAAUUCACCAAACGGAUAUCAAAAUGACCGUAAUCGAGUUAUCUUUCCACAGAAUCAAA